Molecule: ribosomal RNA, 253 nt
Filed under: uncultured archaeon
Lineage: Archaea
Description: partial 16S ribosomal RNA
Rfam family: Archaeal small subunit ribosomal RNA
Source: RNAcentral
UACCUGCGCCCUAAGUGGUAUCCAGUACUAUUGGGCCUAAAGCGUCCGUAGCCGGUUUGGCAAGUCUUCGUUGAAAUUCACUAGUAAACUAGUGAGCUUGUCGGAGAUACUGCCAGACUUGGGACCGGGAGAGGGUAGGGGUACUCCUAGGGGAGGGGUAAAAUCCUAUAAUCCUAGGGGGACCACCGGUGGCGAAGGCGCCUACCUAGAACGGUUCCGACGGUGAGGAACGAAAGCUAGGGGAGCGCUCGCG